This 253-nucleotide ribosomal RNA is filed under the name uncultured bacterium. RNAcentral's name for it is "partial 16S ribosomal RNA". It matches the Rfam family "Bacterial small subunit ribosomal RNA", at positions 524 to 776 of the family's 1533-position model. The record is from RNAcentral.
UACGUAGGGUCCGAGCGUUGUCCGGAAUUAUUGGGCGUAAAGGGCUCGUAGGCGGUUUGUCGCGUCGGGAGUGAAAACACGGGGCUUAACCCCGUGCCUGCUUCCGAUACGGGCAGACUAGAGGUAUGCAGGGGAGAACGGAAUUCCUGGUGUAGCGGUGAAAUGCGCAGAUAUCAGGAGGAACACCGGUGGCGAAGGCGGUUCUCUGGGCAUUACCUGACGCUGAGGAGCGAAAGUGUGGGGGGCGAACAGG